This 496-nucleotide ribosomal RNA is filed under the name uncultured bacterium. RNAcentral's name for it is "partial 16S ribosomal RNA". It matches the Rfam family "Bacterial small subunit ribosomal RNA", at positions 29 to 507 of the family's 1533-position model. The record is from RNAcentral.
AUGAACGCUGGCGGCGUGCCUAAUACAUGCCAGUCGAGCGAACAGACGAGGAGCUUGCUCCUCUGACGUUAGCGGCGGACGGGUGAGUAACACGUGGAUAACCUACCUAUAAGACUGGGAUAACUUCGGGAAACCGGAGCUAAUACCGGAUAAUAUAUUGAACCGCAUGGUUCAAUAGUGAAAGACGGUUUUGCUGUCACUUAUAGAUGGAUCCGCGCCGCAUUAGCUAGUUGGUAAGGUAACGGCUUACCAAGGCAACGAUGCGUAGCCGACCUGAGAGGGUAAUCGGCCACACUGGAACUGAGACACGGUCCAGACUCCUACGGGAGGCAGCAGUAGGGAAUCUUCCGCAAUGGGCGAAAGCCUGACGGAGCAACGCCGCGUGAGUGAUGAAGGUCUUCGGAUCGUAAAACUCUGUUAUUAGGGAAGAACAAAUGUGUAAGUAACUAUGCACGUCUUGACGGUACCUAAUCAGAAAGCCACGGCUAACUACGUG